RNAcentral lists this ribosomal RNA (213 nucleotides) under uncultured prokaryote. RNAcentral describes it as "partial 16S ribosomal RNA". It matches the Rfam family "Bacterial small subunit ribosomal RNA", at positions 524 to 737 of the family's 1533-position model. The record is from RNAcentral.
UACAGAGGUCCCAAGCGUUGUUCGGAUUUACUGGGCGUAAAGGGAGCGUAGGUGGCAUUCUAAGUCUGAUGUGAAAGCUCUGAGCUUAACUCAGAAAUGGCAUUAGAAACUAGUUUGCUAGAGGAUUGGAGGGGAGAUUGGAAUACUUGGUGUAGCAGUGAAAUGCGUAGAUAUCACUUGGAACGCCAAAGGUGAAAACAGUCUGCUGGGGAU